AUGCCGAUAAAGACAGUGUGUAUGUUGAAGGGUGACAGCCCAGAGCAGGGUACCAUCCACUUUGAGUAGAAGGAAAAUGAGCCAGUUGUGGUACUGGGAUGCAUUGCAAGAUUGACUGAGGGCCAGCAUGGAUUCCAUGCUCACAAGUUUGGAGAUAAUACACAAGGCUAUACCAGUGCAGGUCCCCACUUUAAUCCCCUAUCUAAAAGACACCGUGGGCCAAAGGAUCAGGAAAGGCAUGAUGAAGACCUGGCAAUAUGACUGUUGGUGAAGAUGGUGUGGCCAUCUCACUCUCAGUGGUGCACAAAAAAAAACAAGAUGACUUGGGCAAUGGUGGAAAUGAAGAAAGUACAAACACUGGAGAUGCUGGAAGUCAUUGGACUUGUGAUGUCAUUGGAAUCACUCGAUAAACAUUCCCUAGGAUGUGGUUGGAAUCCCAGUAGCUUAUCUAUUAAUCCUGCUAGCUGUAGAAAUGCAACUUGAUAAACAUUAAACACUGUAAUGUUACAAGUGUAAUUGUGUGACUUUUUAAAAAUUGUUUUAAGUCCUUGUAAUGAGAAUUGAUUUAUGAUCACUAGGAAGAUUUGCAUAGUUUUAUAAA
Molecule: RNA transcript, 601 nt
Organism: Carlito syrichta (Philippine tarsier)
Lineage: Eukaryota; Metazoa; Chordata; Mammalia; Primates; Tarsiidae
Gene name: superoxide dismutase [Cu-Zn]-like
Exons: 1
Source: RefSeq, a predicted model, not a curated record